UUCAUUUCUGUUUUCAGAAGCUGCCAGAGAUCUCCGUCUGCCUGGCCGCU
Molecule: transfer RNA, 50 nt
Filed under: Alexandrium tamarense
Lineage: Eukaryota; Dinophyceae; Gonyaulacales; Pyrocystaceae
Description: partial Selenocysteine transfer RNA
Source: RNAcentral